Molecule: long non-coding RNA, 6592 nt
Filed under: Homo sapiens (human)
Lineage: Eukaryota; Metazoa; Chordata; Mammalia; Primates; Hominidae
Description: HSALNT0123916
Source: RNAcentral
GGGUGAACUUGUGAUGGUUAAUAUUGACUGUCAACUCUAUUGGACUGAAGGAUGCAAAGUAUUGUUCCUGGGUGUGUAUGUGAGGGUGUUGCCAAAGGAGAUUAACAUUUGAGUCAGGGGGCUGGGAAAGGCAGACCCGCCCUUAAACUAGGUGGGCACAAUCUAAUCAGCUGCCAGUGUGGCAAAAAUAAAAAUGAGGCAGAGGAACAUAAAGAGGUGAGACUGGCUUAGCCUCCGAGCCUACAUCUUUCUCCCAUGCUGGAUGGUUCCUGCCCUAGAACAUCGGACUCCAAGUUCUUCAGGUUUGGGACUCAGAAUGGCUUCCUUGCUCCUCAGCUUGCAGACAGCCUAUUGUGGAACCUUGUGAUCCUGUGAGUUAAUACCCCUUAAGAAACUCCCUUAUAUAUAUACAUCUAUCCUAACAGUUCUGCUCCUUUAGAGAACUGUGACUAAUACGAAGGGUGACAAUAGAGGAAUUUAUAUGCUAGACUUUUAUACUUUACCUCAAUUUUCAUUACCUUUUGAAGAAAAAAUGUUUCACAUAAUAAUCACAUAACAAUAAUUUAUUCAAAUUUAUUAAGGCAGGAGCUGGGCCUAAAGAGGGUGCUGAGAGGCAGGAGCUGGGCCUGGAGAGGUCAACUGAAGGAAAUUUUUGGCCUAAGGAGGCUGCCAGGAAGCAGGAGCUGGGCAAAAACAGGUUGUUGUUAGGCAGGAUUUGGGCUCAUAGAGGCAGCCAGGAGGCAGGAACUGGAUCUUUAUAAAAGGGGCAACGUAAGGCAGGAGCAGGGCCUGCAGAGUCUACCAGGAAGCAGGACCAGGGCACAAGAGGCUGACAUGAGGCAGAAAGUUGCCCUUGGGAGGCCACUGUGAGGCAGGACUCUUGAAAGGACGCAAAGCUGGGCCUGUAGUGGCUGCUAAAAGGCAGGAACGUGGUCUGGAAGGCCCUGGUGAGGAAAGAGUUGGGCCAAAAGAGGCCACUAGGAGGCAGGAGCUGGGCCUCAGGAGGCUGCCAUAAAACAGGAGCUGGGACUCGGAAGGCAGACAUGAAGCAAAAGCUGGCCUUUGGAAGGCUGAUGAAAGGGAGAAGCCGGGCCUGGUGAGGUUGACUUGAGAAAGUUUGGGGCCUGGAGAGAUCCAUGGGAGGCAGGAGCCAAACUUGUAGACGCUACUGGAAGGCAGGAGGUGGGCCUGGUGAGGUAAACAUGAGGAAGUUCUAGGCCUGGAGAGACAAGUCGGAGAAAGGAGCUGGGGGUAAAGAGGCUGUUGUAAGGCUUGAGAUAGGCCUGCAGAGGCGGCCUGGAGGCAGGAGCUGGGCCUGGAGAUGCCAAAUUGAGGAAGUUUUAGGCCUGCAGAGGCCGUGAAGAGAAAGGAGCUAAGCCUGGAGAGACCGAUGAAAGGCAGAAGCUGGGGCUAGAGAGGCCAUUGGCAGGCAAAAGCUGGGGCUAGAGAGGCCAUUGGCAGGCAAAAGCUCGGCCUCUGGAGGCCGCAAGGAGACAGGAGCCGGGCCUGGUGAGGUUGACUUAAGGAUGUUUUGGUCCUGGAGAGGCCGGGCCUAAAGAGGCUGUUGAAAGGAUGAUGCCAGGCCUGUAGAGGCCAACAGAAGGCAGGAGCUGGGCCUGAGAAGCCCAAAUUAAGAAAGUUUUAGGCCUGUAAGUUCCCUAAAGAGGCAGGAGCUAGGCAUGCAUGGAGAGGCUGCUGUGAGGCAGAAGCUGGGCCACUAGAGGUUGCCAAGAGGCAGGAGAAUGGCUUGAAGAUGUAGCAGUGAAAAUGAGCUGAGUCUAAAGAGGUCAUUGUUAGGCAGAAGCUGAGAUCCUAGAGGACACUCAGAGGUACAAGUUGGGCCUGGAGAGGUCGACUGGAAAAAAUUAUUGACUUAAAAAGAGCACCAAGGCAGUAGCUGGGCCUGGAGUGGACACAGGAAGGCAGAAGGUGGGACCUGGGAGGCCGCCAUUAAACAGGAGCUGAGUUUAUGAGGCAAAAGCUGGGCCUUAAAAGGCUGACCAGAUGCAGAAGCUAGGCCUGGUGACGAUGACGUGAGAAAGUUCUGGGCCUGAAGGGACAAUGCAAACGUAGGAGCUGGGCCGGCAGGCACAGCUGAGAGGGAGAGUUGGGCCUGGAGAGGCCGGCUGGAAACAGUACUGGGCCUGGAGAGGAUGGUGAGAGGCAAGAGCUUGGCCCAUGGAGGCUGCCAACAGGCAGGGCAGGAGCUUCGGCUGAUGUGGCCACGCUGAGGCAACAGCUGGGACUGGGGGGUUCCACUUUUAGAAGGCAGAGGCCGUGCUUCUAGGGGCCUAUGACAGGCAGGAGCUAGGCCCGGCGAGGCCGACUUCAGGAUACUUUGGGUCUGCACAGGCCAUCAGCGGAGGGCAGGAAUUGGGCCCUGGAUGGGCCAACUUGAGAAAGCCUUGGGCCGGUCGGGGUGGGCGGGAGCUGGGCCUUGAGAGACCACCGUCAGGCGUGAGCUGGGCCUAGAGACCCCAGUGUGAGGCAGGCGCCGGGCUUUUUGAGGCCGCCGAGAGGCUGGCAGGAAUACAGCCGGGGAAGGCCGCCGUGAGGCAAGAGCUGGGCCUGGGAAGGCCGCUGCGAGGCCACAGGUGGGCCUGAAGAGCUGUGCUGGAGGAGGUUUCGGGCCUACAAAGGCCGCCAGGAGCUGGGCACGAACCGAGUCAAAAGCGGCUGUCUGCAGGCAGGGGCUGGGCCUGGAGGUACAGCCGCGAGAGUGUGCUGGGCCUGGAGAGUAGGCCGGGAGACAGCCACCAGGACAGGGGAGGCUUGCCAAUUUGGGCCUGGAGAGGCCGCCACGAAGGAAAAGCUGGGCCUUUGAAAGAGGCCAUUGUGAGGGACGAGCCGGGCCUAAAGAGGCCGUCAGGACGCAGGAGCCGGACCUGCGGAAGCCGCCGAAAGGCAGGAGCCUGGCCUGGGGGAGGCUGCAGUGAGGCAUGAGAUGAGCCUAAAGAGGCCAUCAGGAGGCAGGAGCUGGGUCUUUCGGGGCUGCCGCGAGGCAGGGGGAAAUGUGUCCCGGGGAGGCCGACGCGAGACAAGAGCUGGGCCCGGAGAGGCCGCUGUCAGGCAGGAGCUGGGCCUCUCCAGGCCGCCAGGGAGCUGAAGGCAGGGCCUGGAAGGCCUGACUUAGAGGAGCCUGGGGCCUACAAAUGCUGCCAUGAGCUGGGCAGGAGUUGGGCCGAACGUGCCUGUUGCGAGGCAGGAGCUGGGCCGGCAGCCACAGCCGGGAGGGAGAGCUGGGCCUGGAGAGGCCGGCUGGAAACAGUUCUGGACCUGGAGAGGAUGGCGAGAGGCAAGAGCUGGGCCUGUGGAGGCUGCCAACAGGCAAGGCAGGAGCUUGGCCUGAGGUGGCCAUGCUGAAGCAAGAGCUGGGUCUGGGGGGGUCCACUGUGAGGAGGCAGAGGCCAUGCCUCUAGGCGCCUACGACAGGCAGGAGCUGGGCCUGGCGAGGCCGACUUCAGGACGCUUUGGGCCCACACGGGCCAUCGGCGGGAGGCAGGAACUUGGCCUGGAAGGGCCAUCUUGAGAACGCCUUGAGCCGCGAGACGCUGUUGGGGUGGGCGGGAGCUGGGCCUGGAGACGCCACUGUGACGCCUGAGCUGGGCCUAGAGAGGCCAGUGUGAGGCGGGAGCUGGGCUUGUUGAGGCUACCGCGAGGCCGGCUAGAAAAUGGCCGGGGAAGGCCGCUGUGAGGCAAAAGCUGGGCCUGGGAAGGCCGCUGUGAGGGGAGACUGGGUAUGGAGUGCUGGACUGGAAGAGAUUUCAGGCCUACAAAGGCUGCCAGGAGCUGGGUAGGAGCCGAGUCAAAAGAGGCUCUUUGGAGGCAGGAGCUGGGCCUGUAGACACAGCUGCGAGAGAGGACUGGGACUGGAGAAGAGGCCGGGAGGCAGCAACUGCGGUGGGGGAGGCCGACUUGAGGAAUUUCUCGGCCUGGAGAGGCCACCAAAAGGGAAAAGCUGGGCCUAAGGUGGCCGUUGUGAGAAAUGAGCUGGGCCUAAAGAGGCCAUCAGGAUGAUCAGGACGCAGAGCUCGGCCUCUGCUGCAGAGGCUGCUGAAACGCAGCAGCUUGGUUUGGCGAGGCCACGGUGAAGCAUGAGAUGAGCCUAAAGAGGUCACUGGAAGGCAGUAGCUGGACCUGUCAGGACAUGACGCUCAGGUGGUUAUGCGAGCGAUGGGGAGGGGCUAUAAAUACAAACGAAUUUUCCCCUCACUUUGCUGCUCACCACCAGCUCUGUGGCCCUGUGGUGGAGACCCCUGCUCAGGUGCAUUUGAAAGGUUCCGUCCCAUGCCAUUCUUCAGAGUCAUCUUUAUUGCCACAGUGGUGAAGCAUAGCAUCCGUUAACUCGCAUGGCAUAUGCCUUGGCUAGCAUUUCAUCACAAUAAACAGUAAGUGGUAGCUUCACUCAUUGUGAGGACACUUCCUGGAAAUCACCAGCAUCCCAUGUCCCAUUGGCAAGAAACUCAGCACUGCUCCUUGGAUAACCAAACCAAGGCUGAAAUCCCAUGUAUAUGUGUCUAUCUCCUGGUACUCUUCCUAGCAUCAAUUCUGUAUUUCUAGGAGUCCAAUCAAAACAUAUAAACCGCUCAAAAGUUUAAACUGGAAUGCGCACGGUGGCUCAAACCUGUAAUCCCAGCGCUUUGGGAGGCCAAGGCGGGUGGAUUACUUUGAGCUCAGGAGUUGAGACCAGCCUGGGAAACACGGCAAAACCCUGUCUCUACAAAAAGCACAAAAAAAGCACAAAAAUUAGCCAGGCAUGCUGGCACAUACCUGUAAUCCCAGUUACUUGGGAGGCUGAGGAUGGAGAAUUGCUUGAGCCUUCGAAGUGGAGGUUGCUGUGAGCAGAGAUCAUGCCUCUGCACUCCAGCCUUGGUGACAGACUGAGACCCAAUACCAAAAAAAAAAAAAGUAACUUUAAUAUAAAAAAUAUUAAUUAUAACAGAGGAUCAGCAUAAUGAGUGACACACUAGCACUAACUACAGACAAUUCUAGAGAAUACAAAACUAGCAGAGGCCAGGCAUGGUGGCUCAUGCCUGUAAUCCCAGCAAUUUGGGAAGCCUAGGUAGAAGGACUGCUUGAGGCCAAAAGUUGGAGACCAGGCUGGGCAACUUAGUGAGACACUGUGUCUACCAAAAAAAAAAAAAAAUUAGCCAGGUAUGGUGGUGGUGCACAACUGUAGUUCCAGCUACUUGGGAGUCUGGGGUCGGAAGAUCCCUUGAACCUGGGAAGUCUAGGCUGUAGUGAACCAAGAUCAUGCCAGUACACUCUCGCCUGAGCAGCAGAGUGAGACCCUGUCUUAGGGAAGGGGAGGGGAAGGGAGGAGAGGGGAGGGGAGAGGAGGGGAGAGGAAUGCUAAUCCCCCUAUAAGAAUCUCCUCUUCUCCUGCCCUCUCUGGAACCUCACUUGUCAGUUCUUCCUCCCACUUCCCUGUAUGUUUAACCUGUCCCCUGCUUUUAGCUCCUUCCCACCAGCAUUUAAAUUACUCAAACUUCUGCUAUUUUAAAAAACUCUCCCUAAACUCAGUGUGUUCCCUGCUUUAGGUCUCCAGCACACCCACUGAGCCAUCUGCUCCCCCUGGUGCCUUCUCCACACAGCAGCGUGAGCCAUGUCUCUCAUACGUGAAUCUCAUCACAUUACUCCCCUGUUUACAUCACUUCUCCUUGCCUUUGGGAUUAAGUCCAAACUCCUUAACAGGCCCUGCUCUGCCCUGUCUUGCAAGGCAGCCUCACUGCUUGCCCCUCUCCAUUUUACCUGCUGUGGAGUCCAACUGAGCCUCAUCUGUCCCUUGAAUGCCCACUCUCUCUCUCUGCGAGCCUGCGAAGUGGGUGAUGCCCUCUGCUUAGAAUACGCUUCCCCUUAUCUACUCUCUUCCUGGCUAGCUUCAGCUCCUCUGUCACUUGUCCGCUUUAGCACCACCUCCUCCAGGAAGUCUUCCUUGACUCCCUAGAUUCUCAGGAGCAUGGGAAGCGAGGUGCUCCUCCCAUAAAUGAAUGGAGAUUAGGGAGUGUGUGUUAUUCAUGUUUAAUUCACCAGUGCUUACCUCAGUACCUGGCACAAAAUAGUCAUGGUGGUGGCCAAAGUAUCACAGUGGUGGCCAAAGUAAUGACCCCCCAACUGCUCAUGUCCUAUGUUACACCGCAUAAUUACAUAGGAAGGGGGAAUUAAGAGUACAGAUGGAAUUAAUGUUGCUAAUCAGCUGACCUUAAAACAAGAUUAUCCUGCAGUAUCUGGGUGAGCCCAUGUAAUUACAAGGGUUCUUUAAAUGUGGAAGAGGGAGGCAGAAGGUUAAGAACCAGAGACAUUGGGCAUAAUGGCUCAUGCCUGCAUUACCAGUACUUUGGGAGGCCAACACAGGAAAAUCCCUUGAGUGCAGGAGUUCAAGGCCAGCCUUGGCAACAUAGCAAGGCCCAUCUCUACAAAAAAAAAAAAAAAAGUCAAAAUUCACCGAGUGUCAUGGCACCAACCUGUAGUCCCAGCUACUGGGAAGGAUGAAGUGGGAGGAUUGCUUGAGCCUGGAAAUCUGAGGUUACAAUGAGCCAUGAUUGGACUACUGAACUCCAUCCUGGGUGACAGAGCAAGGUCCUGCUUCUAA